GAUGAACGCUGGCGGCGUGCCUAACACAUGCAAGUCGUACGGACUCUUUAAUUCUGAUUUCCUUUAGUGGAAUUGGAAGCUGACAUACUGCUUUUCAAAACUUAUCGUAGACCUUUUAGGUCGAGUACUAAGUUGAGAAAAGCAUUGUAUGUCAGCUAUCAAAGAGUUAGUGGCGGACGGGUGAGUAACACGUUAGUACCUGCCCCGAAGUGGGGGAUAACUGCCCGAAAGGGUGGCAAUACCGCAUGUGGUCACUUGUGACCAAAGCAGCAAUGCGCUUCGGGAGGGGCUUGCGUCUGAUUAGCUAGUUGGUAAGGUAAUGGCUUACC
RNAcentral lists this ribosomal RNA (329 nucleotides) under uncultured bacterium. RNAcentral's name for it is "partial 16S ribosomal RNA". It matches the Rfam family "Bacterial small subunit ribosomal RNA", at positions 28 to 269 of the family's 1533-position model. The record is from RNAcentral.